UCGAACGCGAAAGAAACCUUCGGGUUUCAAGUAGAGUGGCGUCCGGGUGAGUAACACGUAGGUAAUCUACCUUUGGGUGGGGAAUAACGCAGGGAAACUUGCGCUAAUACCGCAUAAUGUAGCGGCACCACAUGGUGACAGUUGUUAAAGCGGGGGAUUUUCGAACCUCGCGCCUAAAGAGGAGCCUGCGGCGGAUUAGCUAGUUGGUAGGGUAACGGCUUACCAAGGCGACGAUCCGUAACCGGCCUGAGAGGGCGGUCGGUCACACUGACACUGACAUACGGGUCAGACUCCUACGGGAGGCAGCAGUCGGGAAUUUUGGGCAAUGGGCGAAAGCCUGACCCAGCAACGCCGCGUGAAGGAUGAAAUCCUUCGGGAUGUAAACUUCGCAAGAAUGGGAAGAAUGAGCGAGUACUAAUACUGCUCGUGAUGACGGUACCAUUUGUAAGCUCCGGCUAACUCCGUGCCAGCAGCCGCGGUAAUACGGGGGGAGCAAGCGUUGUUCGGAUUUACUGGGCGUAAAGGGCGCGUAGGCGGUCAGCACAAGUCAGUUGUGAAAUCUCCGGGCUUAACUCGGAAAGGUCAACUGAUACUGUGCGACUAGAGUGCAGAAGGGGCAACUGGAAUUCUCGGUGUAGCGGUGAAAUGCGUAGAUAUCGAGAGGAACACCUGCGGCGAAGGCGGGUUGCUGGGCUGACACUGACGCUGAUGCGCGAAAGCCAGGGGAG
RNAcentral lists this ribosomal RNA (728 nucleotides) under uncultured bacterium. Its description in RNAcentral is "bacterial SSU rRNA". It matches the Rfam family "Bacterial small subunit ribosomal RNA", at positions 62 to 768 of the family's 1533-position model. The record is from RNAcentral.